CCUACGGGAGGCAGCAGUGGGGAAUUUUGGACAAUGGGGGCAACCCUGAUCCAGCCAUGCCGCGUGAGUGAAGAAGGCCUUCGGGUUGUAAAGCUCUUUCGGCCGGGAAGAAAUCGCUCAAGCUAAUACCUUGGGUGGAUGACGGUACCGGAAGAAGAAGCACCGGCUAACUACGUGCCAGCAGCCGCGGUAAU
RNAcentral lists this ribosomal RNA (194 nucleotides) under uncultured bacterium. RNAcentral's name for it is "partial 16S ribosomal RNA". It matches the Rfam family "Bacterial small subunit ribosomal RNA", at positions 338 to 524 of the family's 1533-position model. The record is from RNAcentral.